Molecule: ribosomal RNA, 468 nt
Filed under: uncultured bacterium
Lineage: Bacteria
Description: partial 16S ribosomal RNA
Rfam family: Bacterial small subunit ribosomal RNA
Source: RNAcentral
GACGAACGCUGGCGGCGUGCUUAACACAUGCAAGUCGAACGGAAAGGCCCUGCUUUUGUGGGGUGCUCGAGUGGCGAACGGGUGAGUAACACGUGAGUAACCUGCCCUUGACUUUGGGAUAACUUCAGGAAACUGGGGCUAAUACCGGAUAGGAGCUCCUGCUGCAUGGUGGGGGUUGGAAAGUUUCGGCGGUUGGGGAUGGACUCGCGGCUUAUCAGCUUGUUGGUGGGGUAGUGGCUUACCAAGGCUUUGACGGGUAGCCGGCCUGAGAGGGUGACCGGCACAAUGGGGCUGGGAUACGGGCCAAGCUCCCACGGGGAGGCAGCAGUGGGGAAUAUUGCACAAUGGGCGGAAGCCUGAUGCAGCAACGCCGCGUGCGGGAUGACGGCCUUCGGGUUGUAAACCGCUUUCGCCUGUGACGAAGCGUGAGUGACGGUAAUGGGUAAAGAAGCACCGGCUAACUACGUG